AUCUCUGUAGAGUCUGCAUAUCAAUAAGCGGAGGAAAAGAAACUAACAAGGAUUCCCCUAGUAACGGCGAGUGAAGCGGGAAGAGCUCAAAUUUGAAAUCUUAAAGGGUUUCCCUUUACGAAUUGUAGUUUAAAGAAGUGUUUUCUGUUGAGGUUUUGGUAAAAGUUCUUUGGAAUAGGACAUCAUAGAGGGUGAGAAUCCCGUAUUUGACCUUUACUUUCAACUUUGUGAUACACUUUCAAAGAGUCGGAUUGUUUGGGAAUGCAGUCCAAAAUGGGUGGUAAAUUUCAUCUAAAGCUAAAUAUUGGCGAGAGACCGAUAGCGAACAAGUACCGUGAGGGAAAGAUGAAAAGAACUUUGAAAAGAGAGUUAAACAGUACGUGAAAUUGUCAAAAGGGAAGCGUUUGACACCAGUGUUGUUUUUCUGAAAAUCAAUUAAAGAACUGUUUAUGCUAAGUUGUUUAGACUUUAUCAGCUAACUGUUUAGUUUUGAGCUUUUCUUUAAUGCACUUUUCAGUUAACAAGUCAACAUCAAUUUCUUUUGCUGUAAAAAAGCUUGAGGAAGGUGGCUUGAGAUUCGUCUUAAGUGUUUAUAGCCUCUUGCCUAUGCAGUCGGAGAAGAUUGAGGUCUGCAGCGUAGAUCCUUCGGGGCUAAAUGCAUUUGUGCUAAGUUAUAGCAUUUUAUAGACAACUUGUUGACUAUGAUUUAGUCUUGUAGCUUACUCGCUUAUGUUAUUUUACCUACGCUUAGGAUGUUGACGAUCAGCUGAGCGCG
RNAcentral lists this ribosomal RNA (775 nucleotides) under uncultured Neocallimastigales. RNAcentral describes it as "partial large subunit ribosomal RNA". It matches the Rfam family "Eukaryotic large subunit ribosomal RNA", at positions 24 to 637 of the family's 3401-position model. The record is from RNAcentral. Lineage: Eukaryota; Fungi; Neocallimastigomycota; Neocallimastigomycetes; Neocallimastigales.